This is a long non-coding RNA of Esox lucius (northern pike), 1708 nucleotides long. The record is from Ensembl. Lineage: Eukaryota; Metazoa; Chordata; Actinopteri; Esociformes; Esocidae.
CUUUGUAAGUUAACGCCUCUAUCUUUUUGGGCGUAGUAGAAGUAUAAAAAUGAUGUUUUGAAUGUUGAUCCUUAGACAUUGUGCGGCGACACGUGUCUCCAGAAGCUUCUGUAAUAAAUGGACGUAUAACUACGGUAAUUGCCCUGACUCCCUGUGUUUUAUUCUCCUUUCCAACAAACCAACUCGGGGAAGUGUUAUACUUCAACAAUUUGGGGGCUCGUUCCGGGAUUGGAAAGAGGAGAAGGAAUUCGAUCUUGUCCAGACAACCUACGCGAGAUUCACAGGUUCCGAGCCGGCUCAUGAUAAAGGUAAGCAGAGCCUGUUAUAUCUAAAUCUGCAUAUUGGCUAUGAACUAAAUUUUGAACCUGUGGAAAACGUAUUGGGAGGCUGGUUUAAAUUCAGGGGGUCAGGGGAACGGUCUGUGAGUUAGAGUCUCACUAUAAGUCGGGUUAGAGGCCCGUUACCGGUGUGUGAGUUAGAGUCUCACUGUAAGUCGGGUUAGAGGCCCGUUAAUCGUUCUAGGGUUGACUACCCUACGCCACUUCCCGACGGGGACGGUGGAGAGUUGCGAGUUAGAGUCUCGGCAACCAGUUGGGUUAGAGUCCCGGGGAGUUUUGGAACUCCCCAAAUUCUGUAUCUGGGUUAGAGUCCCGGGGAGGUUUAGAACUCCCCAAAUUCUGUAUUGGGUUAGAGUCCCGGGGAGUUUUAGAACUCCCCAAAUUCUGUAUUGGGUUAGAGUCCCGGGGAGUUUUAGAACUCCCCAAAUUCUGUAUCUGGGUUAGAGUCCCGGGGAGUUUUAUAACUCCCCAAAUUCUGUAUUGGGUUAGAGUCCCGGGGAGUUUUAGAACUCCCCAAAUUCUGUAUCUGGGUUAGAGUCCCGGGGAGUUUUAUAGCUCCCCAAAUUCUGUAUUGGGUUAGAGUCCCGGGGAGUUUUAGAACUCCCCAAAUUCUGUAUUGGGUUAGAGUCCCGGGGAGUUUUAGAACUCCCCAAAUUCUGUAUCUGGGUUAGAGUCCCGGGGAGUUUUAGAACUCCCCAAAUUCUGUAUCUGGGUUAGAGUCCCGGGGAGUUUUAUAACUCCCCAAAUUCUGUAUCUGGGUUAGAGUCCCGGGGAGUUUUAUAGCUCCCCAAAUUCUGUAUCUGGGUUAGAGUCCCGGGGAGUUUUAGAACUCCCCAAAUUCUGUAUCUGGGUUAGAGGCCCGGGGAGUUUUAGAACUCCCCAAAUUCUGUAUCUGGGUUAGAGUCCCAGGGAGGUUUAGAACUCCCCAAAUUCUGUAUCUGGGUUGGAGUCCCGGGGAGUUUUAGAGCUCCCCAAAUUCUGUAUAAGAGAACUGGGUUCAAGUCCCAAAAAGUGUUGGGUCAGGUACCCGUUAAUCAUUUGUUAAUUAUUCUGAGUCCCGGUAACGUAAGUCAGGUUGAAAUGGACGGGAAGUGUGAGAGAGAAGUUGAUGACGAUGGGCGGUGUCCAGGCACUGGGAAGUGGAAACAAUUGGGGAUACAGGUGGCAAAUGUAAUGACUGUUGUAGGCAGGAUGGACCCAAUUCAGAAAGAAAAAGAAGGGAUAGAAGAGAAAUUGCGACAAGUGGUGAGCGAGGCAGGAUUAAGGAUGGAGGAAAGGAGAUCAUUACAUGUUAUUUUGUGGAAUAAGGAGAAGGAGUGUUCUAAAAAUCGAGAUAGAGUUAGAGACAAGAAGGAAACAGCCAAUUUGGU